This 31-nucleotide non-coding RNA is filed under the name Homo sapiens (human). Lineage: Eukaryota; Metazoa; Chordata; Mammalia; Primates; Hominidae. The record is from RNAcentral.
UGCCAGCAAUGCCGUGAUGGCUUCUUUGGGC